CUCUGUGACUCCUACGGGAGGCAGCAGUGGGGAAUAUUGCACAAUGGGGGAAACCCUGAUGCAGCCAUGCCGCGUGUGUGAAGAAGGCCUUCGGGUUGUAAAGCACUUUCAGUAGGGAGGAAGGUAGUGUAGUUAACACCUGCAUUACUUUGACGUUACCUACAGAAGAAGCACCGGCUAACUCCGUGCCAGCAGCCGCGGUAAUACGGAGGGUGCGAGCGUUAAUCGGAAUUACUGGGCGUAAAGCGCAUGCAGGCGGCCUGUUAAGUCAGAUGUGAAAGCCCGGGGCUUAACCUCGGAAUUGCAUUUGAAACUGGCAGGCUAGAGUCUUGUAGAGGGGGUAGAAUUUCAGGUGUAGCGGUGAAAUGCGUAGAGAUCUGAAGGAAUACCAGUGGCGAAGGCGGCCCCCCUGGACAAAGACUGACGCUCAGAUGCGAAAGCGUGGGGAGCAAACAGGAUUAGAUACCCUCGGUAG
Molecule: ribosomal RNA, 475 nt
Filed under: uncultured bacterium
Lineage: Bacteria
Description: bacterial SSU rRNA
Rfam family: Bacterial small subunit ribosomal RNA
Source: RNAcentral